Molecule: long non-coding RNA, 2372 nt
Filed under: Homo sapiens (human)
Lineage: Eukaryota; Metazoa; Chordata; Mammalia; Primates; Hominidae
Description: non-protein coding lnc-SSTR2-5:1
Source: RNAcentral
AGAACUGGGCUGAGGGAGCAAAGCCUUUACGAUACCACACAGGAUGGCACAUUUCACUGACCUGACACUCACUACGUGUGCCUAAUACAAUUUCUCCAAGGAUACAGACUCAGGAUUGACAGUAGUGACCUAGGAGAAGUAAGGGGAAGAGGCAAGGGGACUUUCUUUUUUUCUUUUUUUUUUUUUUUUACAUCUGAAUUUUUCCACAUUCUACUCUCUGGCUGAUACAACAAAUUCUCUAGACCCGGGUUUCUCAGCCUUGGCAUGACUGGCACUUGGGGCUGGAGAGUCCUUUGUAGUUGUGAUGCCUCGUGCCCUGUGUGUUGCAGGAUGUUAAGUAGCAUCCCUGGCCUCUACCCACUAGAUACCCACGUGGCAAAUGUGCUAAAUGCCACCUGGAGGGCAACAUUGCCCUCGGUUAAGAGUUACUGCCCCAGCCAAUGUGUUGGCCUUAUUAAAUGUAAUUUAUUCCAUGAUAUAAGCACAAGCCACUGUGACUGCCCAGGCCACCUGGGCCAUACUGCCUUUCCCUAGUUCAGGGAAACAUGUAUGAGAAUCCACUUUGAGUUGUUAAAAUCCCCUGGGUUUGAGUCCCAACUGUCUCCCAUAUGAUGUUCUGACAUUCCCUAUGCAUCUGGGGACCCACCAGGAGUUUCUUUGUGCAACUACCUCAUAUUCAAGAACAAUGUUUGUUAUUGUUGUUUUGGGAGUGGGUUUCACUCCUAUUGCCCAGGCUGGAGUGCAAUGGCACGAUCUUGGCUCACUGCAGCCUCUGCCUCCCAGGCUCGAGCAAUUCUCCUGCCUUAGCCUCUCAACUAGCUGAGAUUACAGGCGCAUGCCACCAUGCCUGGCUAAUUUUUGGUUUUCUUUUGUUUUUUGACAGAGACAGGGUUUCUCCAUGUUGUCCAGACUGGUCUCAAACUCCUGAGCUCAAGUGAUCCGCCUGCCUCCGCCUCCCAAAGUGCUGGGAUUAUAGGUGUGAGAUAUCGCAUCUGGCUCAAGGACAAUUUUAGAAAAGUAAAUCAUUUCUUUCUGAUAAAUACACACACAUAAUCUUUAGAGUCUCUUUCUUUCUACCGACUACUUUAAAAGUCAGAAGUACAACUAUCUGAGCUCCUCAUUCGUGAUAACACACUGGCCUUGUGAUUUUUUUUAAGGAAAUUACAUCUUAAAUGUUCAUGUUUUCAUGCUCCCAAAUUCAUUCUUCAUGUCCUGAAAACUUCUUACACUCUAUCUGGUUUUGUUGGUUUGUUUCCUUUCUUGUUUUAUUUUGGUUUUUGUCUUUUGCUAUGUGAAUCUUACAAUAGCUUCUGAUCUAAAAGAGUAACCUAGGGCACAGUGGCUCACGCCUGUAAUCCCAGCACUUUGGGAGGCUGAGGUGGGUGGAUCACAAGGUCAGGAGAUCGAGACCAUCCUGGCUAACAUGGUGAAACCCCGUCUCUACUAAAAAUACAAAAAAUUAGCCGGGUGUGGUGGCGUGCACCUGUAGUCCCAGCUACUCGGGAGGCUGAGGCAGGAGAAUGGCAUGAACCCGGGAGGCGGAGGUUGUAGUGAGCCAAGACCACACCUUUGCAGUCCAGCCUAGGUGACAGAGCAAGACUCCGUCUCAGGAAAAAAAAAAAAAAAAAGAACUUUGAAAAACUAGGUGCCCCAUCACUCAUUUGUAAGUUGACAUUUAAAACAUUUUUGUCUCCAGUUUAAAUAGUUGCAGAAGAUAUCAUUUUAGGCAUGUAAAUAUGCAGACAGAUAGAUCAGAUAUAGAUAGAUAGGUAGGUAGGUAAGUAAGGAGGUAGGUAGGUAGCUAGGUAGAUAGAUUUGUUUAAAUAAAACUGUUUCAUUAGUCUUUUGUUUGUUUGUUUUUUGUUGUUUUUUUUUUUGAGACGGUCUCACUCUGUUGCCCAGGCUGGAGUGCAAUGGCGCAAUCUCGGCUCACUGCAACCUCCACCUUCCGGGUUCAAGCGAUUCUCCUGUUUCAGCCUCCCAAGUAGCUAGGAUUACAGGUGCCCGCCACCAUGCCUGGCUAAUUUUUGUUUUUUGUCUUUUUUUUAAUAGAGACGGGGUUUCGCCAUGUUGGCCAGGCUGGUGUUCAGCUCCUGACCUCAGGUGAUCCACUUGCCUCAGCCUCCCAAAGUGCUGGGAUUAGCAGGUGUGAGCCACCAUGCCCGGCCUAUCUCAUCAGUCUUUUAAGUGAAUCCAGUAGGUCCUAAAUAGAAUAGAGAUUUUAUUCCCAUCAUUAUCCACUUAAAAACAGAAUACAUAAACAAGCCUAUGUUUCUUUGUUUGAUGCACUUUUGUUUGCAUGUUACAUUUUACACACACACACACACAAAUGCACCAUAAGCAAACUCUUUUUCAAAAGCCAAAAAAUUUAC